GAUGAACGCUAGCGCUAGGCUUAACACAUGCAAGUCGAGGGGCAGCACAAGGUAGCUUGCUAUCUGGGUGGCGACCGGCGCACGGGUGCGUAACGCGUAUGCAACUUGCCCUAUACAGGAGGAUAACCCGUCGAAAGACGGACUAAUACUGCGUAUGCUCACAACUUGGCAUCAAGUGGUGAGGAAAGAAAUUCGGUAUAGGAUAGGCAUGCGUCCCAUUAGCUUGUUGGUGAGGUAACGGCUCACCAAGGCAACGAUGGGUAGGGGAACUGAGAGGUUUAUCCCCCACACUGGUACUGAGACACGGACCAGACUCCUACGGGAGGCAGCAGUGAGGAAUAUUGGUCAAUGGGCGCGAGCCUGAACCAGCCAAGUCGCGUGAAGGAUGACUGUCUUAUGGAUUGUAAACUUCUUUUAUACGGGAAUAACAAGAGUCACGUGUGACUCCCUGCAUGUACCGUAUGAAUAAGCAUCGGCUAACUCCGUG
This 487-nucleotide ribosomal RNA is filed under the name uncultured bacterium. RNAcentral describes it as "partial 16S ribosomal RNA". It matches the Rfam family "Bacterial small subunit ribosomal RNA", at positions 28 to 507 of the family's 1533-position model. The record is from RNAcentral.